CCUACGGGUGGCAGCAGUGAGGAAUAUUGGUCAAUGGGCGGGAGCCUGAACCAGCCAAGCCGCGUGAGGGAAGAAGGUACAGCGUAUCGUAAACCUCUUUUGUCAGGGAACACAGGCGGGGACUAGUCCCCGGAUGAGGGUACCUGAAGAAACAGCAUCGGCUUACUCCGGGCCAGCAGCGGCGGUAAUACGGGGGAUGCGAGCGUUAUCAGUUUUUAUUGUGUUUAAAGGGUGCGCAGGCGGCCUGUUAAGUCAGCGGUAAAAGACCGGGGCUCAACCCCGGCGAGCCGUUGAAACUGGCGGGCUGGAGUUGGAGAGAAGUACGCGGAAUGCGCGGUGUAGCUGUGAAAUGCUUAGAUAUCGCGCAGAACCCCGAUUGCGAAGGCAGCGUACCGGCUCCACACUGACGCUGAGGCACGAAAGCGUGGGUAUCGAACAGGAUUAGAUACCCUGGUAGUC
Molecule: ribosomal RNA, 459 nt
Filed under: uncultured bacterium
Lineage: Bacteria
Description: partial 16S ribosomal RNA
Rfam family: Bacterial small subunit ribosomal RNA
Source: RNAcentral